GAUGAACGCUGGCGGCGUGCCUAAUACAUGCAAGUCGAGCGAACAGAUGAGGAGCUUGCUCCUCUGACGUUAGCGGCGGACGGGUGAGUAACACGUGGAUAACCUACCUAUAAGACUGGGAUAACUUCGGGAAACCGGAGCUAAUACCGGAUAAUAUAUUGAACCGCAUGGUUCAAUAGUGAAAGACGGUUUUGCUGUCACUUAUAGAUGGAUCCGCGCCGCAUUAGCUAGUUGGUAAGGUAACGGCUUACCAAGGCAACGAUGCGUAGCCGACCUGAGAGGGUGAUCGGCCACACUGGAACUGAGACACGGUCCAGACUCCUACGGGAGGCAGCAGUAGGGAAUCUUCCGCAAAGGGCGAAAGCCUGACGGAGCAACACCGCGUGAGUGAUGAAGGUCUUCGGAUCGUAAAACUCUGUUAUUAGGGAAGAACAAAUGUGUAAGUAACUAUGCACGUCUUGACGGUACCUAAUCAGAAAGCCACGGCUAACUACGUG
This 497-nucleotide ribosomal RNA is filed under the name uncultured bacterium. RNAcentral's name for it is "partial 16S ribosomal RNA". It matches the Rfam family "Bacterial small subunit ribosomal RNA", at positions 28 to 507 of the family's 1533-position model. The record is from RNAcentral.